Molecule: ribosomal RNA, 253 nt
Filed under: uncultured bacterium
Lineage: Bacteria
Description: partial 16S ribosomal RNA
Rfam family: Bacterial small subunit ribosomal RNA
Source: RNAcentral
UACGUGGGGGGCAAGCGUUGUCCGGAAUUACUGGGCGUAAAGGGCUCGUAGGCGGCCAACUAAGUCCGACGUGAAAUCCCCAGGCUCAACCUGGGAACUGCGUCGGAUACUGGAUGGCUUGAAUUCGGGAGAGGGAUGCAGAAUUCCAGGUGUAGCGGUGAAAUGCGUAGAUAUCUGGAGGAAUACCGGUGGCGAAGGCGGCAUCCUGGACCGACAUUGACGCUGAGGAGCGAAAGCUAGGGGAGCAAACGGG